Molecule: long non-coding RNA, 1110 nt
Filed under: Mus pahari (shrew mouse)
Lineage: Eukaryota; Metazoa; Chordata; Mammalia; Rodentia; Muridae
Description: RIKEN cDNA 1700056N10 gene (MGP_PahariEiJ_G0004391.1)
Source: RNAcentral
GCUUUCUGACUCUGAACUUACUGGUAGCUGCUAAUAGCAGGAUCACAAACUGAUGCUCUGGGUGUCUGGAAUCUCCAUCAGGUCUUCCAGGGGAUUCUUCAGACACUGGUUGCAGGGAAGGAAGGCGGCCUCACACCCCUCCCCAUCUCUAGCCUUCAGUAGCCCCAGUGCUAAGGUGUCAGCAAAUCCCUGUUAACUAAAGAUCCUGCUUCUGCCCAUCUGAGAGGAGAACCCACUUUGAAAACUCCUCAGGAAAUGGAGUUCACUCAGCAUGUCACACUCAUGCUCCUGGGGAAGGCAUGGAAAUGAUUCUCAUCCUUGUUCGUUGCUGAAGCCUGGAAGUUCCAAUUGUCUCACUUAACAGUGAUGGACCCCAUCCCCUCACAGCAAUCAGACCAGCAUCGGGAGUGCCAUACACAAUCAAAACCAAAUGUCAAUGGGCUGAGAGGAAGGGGAGGUGACAGCAGCUGGAAGCAAAUGUAGAAGUCCUCCUUGAUACACCUCGAGUGUAAAGGAGGAAACACCAAGUGCGUGCCUCAGAAGAUAUCUUUUCUGGGGAAGUACAGAUCACAGCUAAUGCUGAGGAAGAGUCUCUGAGAAGUGGAAAUUGGAUCUUUGAUGCCAUUUAUUGGGCUGGGCAAAGCAGGGCACAAAGAGAGCACAGGGACAGGGCCAAAGGGCCAUAGUACACAUAAAUACCUUGGGCUGUGAACACUCACUACAGAGAGGGUGAGGCAGGAGGCAGAGUCCCCUUGUGUCUGUGGAUUCUUUAAAUAUAGGUAGCCUGGCCACAGGAGCCUUUACUAGGUAUGUGGAGAGCAGAAAAGUCAGUAGAGGUAUUUGAAGAGUCUGGAGACCAUUGCUUCAAAUGUAUUUCCCUUACAGUGAUAGUAAGUAGCUAGGAAGGAGGAAGUAAAGAGACUUGUCUGUUUUCAGUUACAGAUCGUCCAAUAGAGGCUAGGCAUGCUAGCAAACACCUUUAAUCCUAGCACUCUGGAGUGAAAUUAAGACCAGCCUGGUCUUUAUAGAUCAGGCUAGCUGAGGCUACAUAGAGAAACCCUGUCUUGAAAAACAACAAAACAGCAGAAAAACAAAAACACAGCACCAGUG